GAUGUGAAAAUAUGAUGUUUUAUUAUAUCAGAAAGAUAUACAAGGAUACAUCUCAAGAACAUGUAGAGCUACUAGCAAAAUCUCAACUACUGAAGUGAAAAUAUGAUGUUUAUUAUAUCAGAAAGAUAUACUAGGAUACAUCUCAAGAACACGUAUAGCUACUAGUUCAUGAACGUCCUCCAACUUGUACAAUAGAACAGAACAACACAUAACAGAACAUGUCAUAAAACAGAACCAUUUUCAGCUUUCCACCCUUUAAUCAACUUCCUCAAUCUUGGGCCCAGCACCGGUGUUGCCAGAGCUAGCCUUGCCAUAACCAGCUCCCGGCAUCUCUGCACCACUAGCACCGCCCAUUGGCACAUCUCCACCAGCACCACCAGCACCCUGGUACAUCUUAGAAAUAAUGGGAUUGCACAAAUCCUCAAGCUCCUUCAAUUUGUCUUCAAGUUCAUCCACUUCAGCCAACUGGUUCCGGUCCAACCACUCAAUA
RNAcentral lists this long non-coding RNA (490 nucleotides) under Olea europaea (common olive). Its description in RNAcentral is "long non-coding RNA (OEUR_LNC003813)". Lineage: Eukaryota; Viridiplantae; Streptophyta; Magnoliopsida; Lamiales; Oleaceae. The record is from RNAcentral.